UGUUGGAGACAUGGGCUCAAGUCUCAGC
RNAcentral lists this non-coding RNA (28 nucleotides) under Rattus norvegicus (Norway rat). Lineage: Eukaryota; Metazoa; Chordata; Mammalia; Rodentia; Muridae. The record is from RNAcentral.